CCUACGGGAGGCAGCAGUGGGGAAUUUUGGACAAUGGGCGCAAGCCUGAUCCAGCAAUGCCGCGUGAGUGAAGAAGGCCUUCGGGUUGUAAAGCUCUUUUGUCAGGGAAGAAACGGUGAAGGCUAAUAUCUUUUGCUAAUGACGGUACCUGAAGAAUAAGCACCGGCUAACUACGUGCCAGCAGCCGCGGUAAUACGUAGGGUGCAAGCGUUAAUCGGAAUUACUGGGCGUAAAGCGUGCGCAGGCGGUUUUGUAAGUUUGUCGUGAAAUCCCCGGGCUCAACCUGGGAAUGGCGAUGAAGACUGCAAGGCUAGAAUCUGGCAGAGGGGGGUAGAAUUCCACGUGUAGCAGUGAAAUGCGUAGAGAUGUGGAGGAACACCGAUGGCGAAGGCAGCCCCCUGGGUCAAGAUUGACGCUCAUGCACGAAAGCGUGGGGAGCAAACAGGAUUAGAUACCCUGGUAGUCCACGCCCUAAACGAUGUCUACUAGUUGUCGGGUUUUAAUUAACUUGGUAACGCAGCUAACGCGUGAAGUAGACCGCCUGGGGAUACGGUCGCAAGNUUAAAACUCAAAUGAAUUGACGGCUGAGAGNGCGAGACGACGACGAGGAGGAGG
RNAcentral lists this ribosomal RNA (615 nucleotides) under uncultured bacterium. Its description in RNAcentral is "bacterial SSU rRNA". It matches the Rfam family "Bacterial small subunit ribosomal RNA", at positions 338 to 947 of the family's 1533-position model. The record is from RNAcentral.